Molecule: ribosomal RNA, 253 nt
Filed under: uncultured bacterium
Lineage: Bacteria
Description: partial 16S ribosomal RNA
Rfam family: Bacterial small subunit ribosomal RNA
Source: RNAcentral
GACAGAGGUGCCGAGCGUUAGGCGGAAUCACUGGGCUUAAAGCGUGUGUAGGCGGGUCGUUAAGUGUCUUGUGAAAUCCCACCGCUCAACGGUGGAACUGCUGGGCAUACUGGCGAUCUUGAGCCACCUAGGGGCAGACGGAACAAGCGGUGGAGCGGUGGAAUGCGCAGAUAUCAGGAGGAACACCAAUAGCGAAGGCAGCUCGCUGGGACGUUACUGACACUGAGGCGCGAAAGCGUGGGGAGCGAACAGG